RNAcentral lists this ribosomal RNA (467 nucleotides) under uncultured bacterium. Its description in RNAcentral is "partial 16S ribosomal RNA". It matches the Rfam family "Bacterial small subunit ribosomal RNA", at positions 28 to 506 of the family's 1533-position model. The record is from RNAcentral.
GACGAACGCUGGCGGCGUGCUUAACACAUGCAAGUCGAACGGAAAGGCCCUGCUUUUGUGGGGUGCUCGAGUGGCGAACGGGUGAGUAACACGUGAGUAACCUGCCCUUGACUUUGGGAUAACUUCAGGAAACUGGGGCUAAUACCGGAUAGGAGCUCCUGCUGCAUGGUGGGGGUUGGAAAGUUUCGGCGGUUGGGGAUGGACUCGCGGCUUAUCAGCUUGUUGGUGGGGUAGUGGCUUACCAAGGCUUUGACGGGUAGCCGGCCUGAGAGGGUGACCGGCCACAUUGGGACUGAGAUACGGCCCAGACUCGUACGGGAGGCAGCAGUGGGGAAUAUUGCACAAUGGGCGGAAGCCUGAUGCAGCAACGCCGCGUGCGGGAUGACGGCCUUCGGGUUGUAAACCGCUUUCGCCUGUGACGAAGCGUGAGUGACGGUAAUGGGUAAAGAAGCACCGGCUAACUACGU